This 304-nucleotide ribosomal RNA is filed under the name uncultured delta proteobacterium. RNAcentral describes it as "bacterial SSU rRNA". It matches the Rfam family "Bacterial small subunit ribosomal RNA", at positions 28 to 339 of the family's 1533-position model. The record is from RNAcentral. Lineage: Bacteria; Deltaproteobacteria.
GAUGAACGCUGGCGGUCUGCUUAACACAUGCAAGUCGAACGAACUCUUCGGAGUGAGUGGCGGACGGGUGAGUAACGCGUGAGAAUCUGGCUGUGGGUCGGGGAUAACCCGCCGAAAGGCGAGCUAAUACCGAAUACGUUCACAAAGGCUUUGGUUUUUGUGAAGAAAGGGUCUCGUACCCGCCCCUGGAUCAGUCCGCGUUCCAUCAGCUAGUUGGUAGGGUAAAAGCCUACCAAGGCAACGACGGAUAGCUGGUCUGAGAGGAUGAUCAGCCACACUGGGACUGAGAUACGGCCCAGACUCC